AUCUGAUAUUGUCGGUGAAGCCAACUUUAUUGUAGUCUAUAGAUAAUAUGUACACUCUUAAUAGCUAGUACUAUCUACAAUCAUCGAAGAGGUUCGGUAGGAAUAGUGCAGCUUGAUGCAAAAAUCUACAAUAUUCUUCGUUUCAAGUCAAGGAAUGGAGGAAUUUUGUAGGAUAGGAUCCAUUCUAUCCUUCAACAACUCUUUGAGGAUUUUAAACAUGAGCUCCAAGCCCUGCUCGUCAAGUACGCCAGGAUUAGUCAUUUU
RNAcentral lists this long non-coding RNA (264 nucleotides) under Setaria viridis. RNAcentral's name for it is "long non-coding RNA (SVIR_LNC009872)". The record is from RNAcentral. Lineage: Eukaryota; Viridiplantae; Streptophyta; Magnoliopsida; Poales; Poaceae.